GAUGAACGCUAGCGGCAGGCCUAACACAUGCAAGUCGAGGGGUAGCAGGAUUAAGCUUGCUUAAUUGCUGACGACCGGCGCACGGGUGCGUAACGCGUAUGCAACCUACCUUAUACUGGGGUAUAGCCCGGAGAAAUUCGGAUUAAUCCCCCAUAGUACUAAUGAAUCGCAUGGUUUAUUAGUUAAAGCAUUGCGGUAUAAGAUGGGCAUGCGUCCUAUUAGCUAGAUGGUGAGGUAACGGCUCACCAUGGCUACGAUAGGUAGGGGGCCUGCGAGGGUGGUCCCCCACACUGGUACUGAGACACGGACCAGACCCCUACAGGAGGCAGCAGUGAGUAAUAUUGGUCAAUGGGCGCAAGCCUGAACCAGCCAUGCCGCGUGCAGGACGAAUGCCCUAUGGGUUGUAAACUGCUUUUAUUUGGGAAUAAACCUCUUUACGUGUAGAGAGCUGAAGGUACCAAAUGAAUAAGCACCGGCUAACUCCGUGCCAGCAGCCGCGGUAA
RNAcentral lists this ribosomal RNA (503 nucleotides) under uncultured bacterium. Its description in RNAcentral is "partial 16S ribosomal RNA". It matches the Rfam family "Bacterial small subunit ribosomal RNA", at positions 28 to 523 of the family's 1533-position model. The record is from RNAcentral.